Molecule: ribosomal RNA, 726 nt
Filed under: uncultured bacterium
Lineage: Bacteria
Description: bacterial SSU rRNA
Rfam family: Bacterial small subunit ribosomal RNA
Source: RNAcentral
AACAGGAUUAGAUACCCUGGUAGUCUCGGCCCUAAACGAUGAUCACUAGGUGUCGGGGGGUUUCCCUCGGUGCCGCAGCUAACGCAUUAAGUGAUCCGCCUGGGGACUACGGCCGCAAGGUUGAAACUCAAAGGAAUUGGCGGGGGACCGCACAAGCGGUGGAGCAUAUGGCUUAAUUCGAUGCAACGCGAAGAACCUUACCCAGGCUUGACAUGUAACUGCAAGCUCCCCAAAAGGAGCCGCUUUCGAAGGUGUUACACAGGUGGUGCAUGGCUGUCGUCAGCUCGUGUUGUGAAAUGUUGGGUUAAGUCCCGCAACGAGCGCAACCCUCAUGUUCUGUUGCCAGCGAGUAAUGUCGGGAACUCGGAACAAACUGCCCAUGUAAGUGGGAGGAAGGUGGGGAUGACGUCAAGUCAUCAUGCCCCUUACGCCUGGGGCUGCACAUAUGCUACAAUGGCUGCUACAAAGGGCUGCGAACUCGCAAGAGUAAGCCAAUCCCAAAAAAGCAGUCUCAGUUCGGAUUGGAGUCUGCAACUCGACUCCAUGAAGCUGGAAUCGCUAGUAACCGCAGGUCAGCACUACUGCGGUGAAUACGUUCCCGGUCCUUGCACACACCGCCCGUCACAUGACGAAAGUUGGUAUUAUCCGAAGUCACCAGGCUAACCGCAAGGAAGCAAGUGCCGAAGGUAGUGCCGAUGAUUGGCGUGAAGUCGUAACAAGGUAACC